UACGAAGGGGGCUAGCGCUGCUCGGAAUCACUGGGCGUAAAGGGUGCGUAGGCGGGUCUUUAAGUCAGGGGUGAAAUCCUGGAGCUCAACUCCAGAACUGCCUUUGAUACUGAGGAUCUUGAGUUCGGGAGAGGUGAGUGGAAACUGCGAGUGUAGAGGUGAAAAUUCGUAGAUAUUCGCAAGAACACCAGUGGCGAAGGCGGCUCACUGGCCCCGAUACUGACGCUGAGGCACGAAAAGCGUGGGGGAGCAAACAGG
This 258-nucleotide ribosomal RNA is filed under the name uncultured bacterium. RNAcentral describes it as "partial 16S ribosomal RNA". It matches the Rfam family "Bacterial small subunit ribosomal RNA", at positions 524 to 776 of the family's 1533-position model. The record is from RNAcentral.